GGUAAGGAGGUGGGUUUCAUCCCUCGGCAGUGGGUUGGGGAGACCGCGCGGCGCCCGGCCGCGUGUGCGUGUGCUCUGACGGGGGGCCGUGACCCAAAAGAUGCCUGGGGAGCCGAGGAAGCUGCCCUUGUCGAUACUUUGCCCCCCUCCAUACGUUGGGGAGCAGUGAGCAGUGUUGCACACUGCUGAAAUACAUGCAUAUGUUUUCAGAUGAGACUGCCUGAGCCUAAAUGCAGUUUUAAUGUGUGCUUGCAGAAUGCAAUGAGGUUGUUGCCAGCAUGGUAAAACGUGCUUGAUCAGAAAUCUAUCAUCUCAGUAAUUGUUACGUGGAAAUUGUUGUCUCCUUUUCUUUCUUCCUCCCCGACUCUUGGAGGAUAGGUUACAAACAAUCUCAAAGACUGUGUCUCAUGCAAACAGAAAAGCAAUGGUUCCCUCACGUCUGGAGAACGCGGUGACAGCAUAUAGUGCAGGAGUAAGAAAACUGGGAGAACUUGAAUUCAUCUCCUUUUCAAAGAUCUUUUUCUCCCAAACAAGCUGAAGAAAGGGAAGAAAGCCAGAGGAUGCUUAACAUGAGAUUCCGAUGGAGCGUGAUAUGGCAACGCAUGGCAGAAGCUCUAGCUUAGAAGCAACAGUGCCAAUAGAAAUCAUAUUACAGUGGCCAUGAGGAAAUGCGUUCCCAUGGUAUCAUCAGAGGAACGACAUCCAGCACCAGAUUUUCCUGCCAACCAGAUACAUGGGCUAAGAAUCUGGCAGUGCAGUAACUUGGCACUUGUGACUGCAGCUGAUACGUUCACAUCUUAAGAAGGUCAGUUAAAUUGCUUUCAGUUUAUUUUAAAAACUCUCAGCGCUUGCCUACAGACAUGAGGGACUAAAGAAUAAUGACUACUCAAAACCAAAGGACGUACAGUAGCUGCUACCAUCUGAAAAACAAACAUUGUGUGGACAAAGCACCUUCCUUGUGCCAACUACACAUUCCCAACGUUGUUCCUGCUAUUGAGAAGUUUUUAAGUCAGAUGUUACGUUCACCAUAGUAGCGCCACGAUCAUCUUAUCUUUCUUAAAUAAAGAUGCACCUUAAGAACAGAUAAUUCUGGUAGUAGAUCAAUGGAAACACUUUUGUUUGUUUUUCACUAAUGCAGAAUGGGUAGCUAAAACAGAGACAACACUACUGAAAAUACGCUCUUAUAAACGAAGUGUACCCCUGAGCUAUAACUGUGUGUUCAGUUCUGGGUACCCAGCUCAAGAAAGACAUCAAAAUACACGUGGUAUUUUGAAAUAGACACUCACUAGAAAAUGGAAAAUACAAUUCUAAGAAUGGAAAAGACUAGAACUGCGCCUUCAGGGGGAAAAAAAAACUUAUGUGAAGAUAUUGAUAUAUUGGUACCACCUCUAUAACCAGUGCAAAGAAGGUAGGUGAGGCACUAUUGCCUAACUCUCUCCUUCUUAGUGAAGGAAAAUAUACAAAUUUUAAAAUAUGGAAAAAAAAUUGAACUUUCAUGGCCUAUCAAACUGUAUUUUUUAGUUCUACAAGGCAAUACUGAUGCCAAAAUUUAUGUAAAGUUAAAGAUUUUUAACUACUUCUUAAUGCCACUAUGAAUGGGUGUCCAAACACACACACGUAGUGACAUUUUGUCAGGAUACAAGGCUUUCUGCACUGCAUAUAGAAGACCCUGUAAUUAUUAAGGCCUAGGAGGAACCUGUCUGUGUAUGACAGGCUAUUCUACAACUUCCUUCUGCAGGAAUUCUUGUAUCAUCAUCAUCUAACACAUGUGACAAUGACCUGUCUCACUUGUUCUUUCUGUCCACUAUUUCCAAAUUUUCUUCUUUUGGAAGAACUUUAUAGAAAUCUGAAAAAAGCCUUAAUAGUAUAAAAGAUACUUUGCUAGUUACUAUAAUUUUUCCCCUCUGGGGAGGUACACAAAAAACAUUUAGAAAGCUAUACUGAUAUGAAAAUGUUGAAAGAUUUUUUUUUCCCCCCUGUGAAAAGCAAUUUAUUUUGAUGUCUUGCAAACAGAUUUUUAUGUGAAUAUAUAAUACACAUAUGGGAAGAUGUCAGUAUAGCCAUUUGGUAAUGGUUAUAUUAAGAGAUCAUCAUAGCUUAUUUUUCUAUGAUCCCUUAAAGCAAACUGCAGCAUCUUUAGCUGCAGCAUGGUUUUCAUUAAAUUACUCAGCUGCAUUGGCUUGCUUUGCAAUUAUCAAUCAUACUUGUUAUUUUCAUGGACCCAUAAAUCAGUCAAAUAUUCUAGAAUUAAAAUGUCUUAACAACUCCCUCAAUGUUUAUUAGAGUUCUUUUGUGAUAAUUGGACAGGAAUUAUACUUACUUGAGGAGUAUAGUUAGCUUUAAAUUAGCAGAGCUGCAUAGAGUUCUAUCUAGCAAAGAGAACAGUUACUCCCCAACUCCACGAAACUGUCUAUAGAAGAAAAAAAUUAUGAUGUGUGGUUUUAGUAGAGUCAGUGGCUCUUUUAUGAGGUCACCAUACAACUGUGGCAGCCUGAGAACAGAAGUGGAAUGAAUGAAUUUUUGGAAGUCUGCUUAAUGACACUUUUUCUUAGAGACCAUGGAAAAAAGUGGGAUAGCACAUAAAAGAACACAUUUAUGUAAACAAGAUGCAUCUCUCAUAACAUUAACUUUAGGUAUUCACACACAGACCUAUUGGAUACAUCAGACUGAGUAGAGCAAUUAGUGCUAGCAGCCAAGUGUUCUUCCUUUUUUCCUCCAGUUCAGAAAAUUGAGGCCGAUGUUGUUUAUUAUUGUCAAUACUAGCCUAGAGGGACACAUUCAGCAGGCAGAGUAGAAUGUAGACUCCUUAAAAGGAGUUCUGAUUUUACAGCAGCUAUCACCAUCGUUUAUAAACUGGACUAAAGCUUAAUGUAGUUUUAGGGUUAAAAAAAAUUACAUCAAAAACCUUUUAUUCUAGAAGCAUUUUUAAUUUCACUUGCACAUGUCAGUUGAAACACAGAACGUUAUCAGUAAAAAACCGAAGAUUUCUUUCCUAACAUUUCACAGUACAUUGGUUUCCAAAUCCGUAUUUUUCUGUUAAGGCAACCUGCAUUAAUUAUGAAUCGACUCUGCAUACUAGGACAGUAUUUCCAAAUAUGUACAAACCACCAUAAAAUAACUACUAAUACAGUUACCAUAGAAAAAGAUAAAGUCACAAUAGAAGUAAAAACGUAAACAUGUUACACUACUGUCUUUAAAACUGCAAAAUUUACCACCUACCAUCCCAAGACAAACAGAACAGCUAAAGACAUUAGGUGCGAUAUAAAAAGUUACUACAGUAAGUCUUUGUUCAGCCAAUAUUUCAGAAGUCGCAUUAAGAAACUGUUCAUGUUUUGUGAAAUGUAUAUUCAACUAAAGUUUGGACGAGCAGAAGAAGAAUUCAGGCUGACACUCAUCUCUACCCUACUGCAAGAUUGCAACCUCAUUACUUAAUUGCUUUGAAGCAGAAAUUAAUUCAUUCUAGCAGAGAACAAGCAGGUUCAAUUUUAAGAGUGGGCUUGCCACGCUCCUCAGAAAAGUACCUCAUCACAUGCAUAGUUCAUUCAGCAGUAGCAGAUGAACAAGAAGCACAAAGCCACCACCAUCUUCACUGUGCUACGCUCAAAAUUUGAGCGGUUUAUUAAAGGUGUAAUAUAUCUGAACAAAUGCUAUUUUUCCCUAGAAUCCAUGGCAAGACAGCAGCACACUGACUUGCCUGCAGAAAUGGGAAUAGAGGGUAAGGGAACUGCAAGGGCUGGGAAGAAGCCACAGGCUUCUUGCUGUAUUACAAGCCUCAUCACAGCAGGAGGCUGGCUAAUAGCACCUUCUUCCUUUGAGAGUUAUUUUAUGUUGCUGCAUUGUUUGAUUACAGAUGUUAAUCAAAUUACUUUUUUUUUUUUGAUUGCUGAUACUUUGAGUCAUGAAAUUAAAGCACACUCAUGACUGAGUAUAACUGAUAAGAUGGCUUAAUUGGUACCUUCUCUUUUAGCACCCAGAAGCAGUAGAUAGAAGAUUUCCACCUUGUCCCUUAAGGAAUACCUGCAUUCUACCCCUCUGGCCAUAUUUUCUCCCUCAAGAUUCCCUCUCACCUCCAUUAUGAAAGACGAAAGUUGACAGCUUCCUCAGCCCCACGCAGUACCAAGACGGGCUUCAGCAAUUGCCUUGGGCCACAUCCUUAAAACCGAGAGCCUGGGAAAUGAACGAGUGCAAAGUCUAAAAUGUCACUAUAUACCCACCUUCAGUAAAAGAUUACACUGCCACAUAGCUGUCUUCCUCUUAUGGGUACAAGCAAUUUAUUAGCAGUAUGCUUGCUUUGAAUAUUCAUCCUCAUUAUAGUCAGGGAAACUUGACAAAAAACAAAGCAGGAGUUUUAAUCUCUGAACAUGCCUGUGUAAUCAUAAGAAGGGGACUGGUAUCAGUAAUAAAGUAUUACAGUUAUUCACUAUAGAGGAAAGUCAAAAAAUUCCAGUUCUCUCUCACAGAUAGGUCUAAUUAGACUACUAAAAAUUGUUCUGUUUUAUUACUAAAAUUUAUAUUCUCUUGAGUAGACAAAGGAGUACAAAUGUAUUCCCUAGAACUGACUUUAUUCUAUUGCUAAGUUCAAAGUUUACUGUUGGCAUGCAGAUUUUAUCAGUUAAACCAAGCUCCUCAACAGAGGGUGCAAAAGCAAUGAUAAAAAGGUAAUACAUAAGGAGAAAAAAAAAAGGUUAA
Non-coding RNA from Struthio camelus australis, 4689 nucleotides. The record is from RefSeq and is a predicted model, not a curated record. Lineage: Eukaryota; Metazoa; Chordata; Aves; Struthioniformes; Struthionidae.